This 678-nucleotide unclassified non-coding RNA is filed under the name Hevea brasiliensis (rubber tree). Lineage: Eukaryota; Viridiplantae; Streptophyta; Magnoliopsida; Malpighiales; Euphorbiaceae. The record is from RNAcentral.
CAUUAAAAUGGAAACAAUAAAAUACCACCAUACGGAUCAAAAAGCAAAAAGGAUUAGUCAUUUAGUCAAGAAAGCAGCAGGAAGUGGACAAAAAUCCAUUCAUAAUACUAUUAAAAAUCAAUUAUCAAAAUCAGCACCUAGAUAAAUUUACUUGUUUGAAGUUUCCGAAGCAGGAGAUGGAAUUAUGGAAAGGCAUAAUAUCUUCACAAAAAUAACUGGAAAACAGCCUUUGUAGACGCAAAGACCAGAUAAGGAGGUGAUCUUAUAGACCAUGUAAAAUAUAUAACUUACAAGGUGGAUCCCAUAGAGAGCCAAUAGGUGGAAACUAUAGAAAGCAAAUUGACCAAUGAUGAUGAAAACACCAACAAUUCAUCUAUGAUAGUUUUAAAACAAACAGUUCUAUCUCUGAAUUUCAGUCAAAAUCAGAAAAGAAAUUUGUAUAGAUGCUUGGCCCUUAAGAUCAACAAGCACCUCAUUACUUGCCAAUGUCUUAUUUACGCACACUAAGUUAAAAUAUAAGAAAAUUCAGAAUAGAAAUAUGAAAAAUUCACCAUAUGAAUAUAUGUGAGAAAUGAAGGCAUCUCACCGGUGUAUUUCCCAUUCCUCUCAUAGUCAUCCAGAAAGUGAGACACAACUGUUGUUGGAAUCACAUAUCCAAUAUUCUCAGCUUCUUCAGAU